CUCGGUGCCUCGAGCGAUGUGGAACCACCUCUUCCCAUCCCGAACAGAGUCGUGAAACGCAUCAGCGCCGAUGAUACUUGGACCCAACCCGGUCCUGGGAAAGUAGGCCGGUGCCGAGG
Molecule: ribosomal RNA, 119 nt
Filed under: Candidatus Uhrbacteria bacterium RIFCSPLOWO2_02_FULL_49_11
Lineage: Bacteria; Candidatus Uhriibacteriota
Source: RNAcentral